Molecule: ribosomal RNA, 428 nt
Filed under: uncultured bacterium
Lineage: Bacteria
Description: bacterial SSU rRNA
Rfam family: Bacterial small subunit ribosomal RNA
Source: RNAcentral
UGGGGAAUAUUGGACAAUGGGGGAAACCCUGAUCCAGCGACGCCGCGUGUGUGAAGAAGGCCUGCGGGUUGUAAAGCACUUUUAGUGGGGAUGAAAAGCCGAAGGCUAAUACCUUUCGGUCUUGACCUAACCUACAGAAAAAGCACCGGCUAACUCUGUGCCAGCAGCCGCGGUAAUACAGAGGGUGCAAGCGUUAAUCGGAAUUACUGGGCGUAAAGCGUGCGUAGACGGUUAUUUAAGUCAGGUGUGAAAGCCCCGGGCUCAACCUGGGAAUUGCAUUUGAGACUGAAUAGCUAGGGUGCGGAAGAGGGAAGCGGAAUUUCCGGUGUAGCGGUGAAAUGCGUAGAUAUCGGAAGGAACACCAGUGGCGAAAGCGGCUUCCUGGUCCAGCACCGACGUUCAGGCACGAAAGCGUGGGGAGCAAACAG